This 228-nucleotide ribosomal RNA is filed under the name Staphylococcus aureus. RNAcentral describes it as "partial 23S ribosomal RNA". It matches the Rfam family "Bacterial large subunit ribosomal RNA", at positions 2695 to 2925 of the family's 2925-position model. Lineage: Bacteria; Bacillati; Bacillota; Bacilli; Caryophanales; Staphylococcaceae. RNAcentral also lists the same sequence under 1 other name. The record is from RNAcentral.
GGAUGGACAUACCUCUGGUGUACCAGUUGUCGUGCCAACGGCAUAGCUGGGUAGCUAUGUGUGGACGGGAUAAGUGCUGAAAGCAUCUAAGCAUGAAGCCCCCCUCAAGAUGAGAUUUCCCAACUUCGGUUAUAAGAUCCCUCAAAGAUGAUGAGGUUAAUAGGUUCGAGGUGGAAGCAUGGUGACAUGUGGAGCUGACGAAUACUAAUCGAUCGAAGACUUAAUCAA